Long non-coding RNA from Xiphophorus couchianus (Monterrey platyfish), 533 nucleotides. RefSeq lists it as uncharacterized. NCBI's taxonomy places the organism in Eukaryota, Metazoa, Chordata, Actinopteri, Cyprinodontiformes, Poeciliidae. The record is from RefSeq and is a predicted model, not a curated record. The transcript has 2 exons.
AUUUAAAGGUCAGCUCCAAUGACCUCCCCUUAUAGUGAAAUAACUACAAAAAUCUUUUUUUAUAUAAAAAAACACAAACAGAAAAUGAUCUCAAGUUUAUUACCUACAACAUACAUUUUCAAUGACUGAUUUGUUGAACUUAAGACUGUCCAGUGAAAUUUAAUUCUUAUUUUAAAGCUGUAACAAGAACGUGUUUGUUCUCAUUGUCACUGAAACAAGGUAACAGUAAACUUGAGAAAGAGUCACAUCACAUUGAAACCCUUUAGAAACUUUGUCUCUGCCUGAUUUUACAUUUAUUGACGUUGAGUUGUCCAACAGUGGGAGACAGGCAGUCAUUAGGGACAUUUUGAACAUGAGCCCUUCUAGCCGUCUGUGGGUUUAAUGGAAACCUCCUUCCUAGCUGACCGUGUUUCUCCUCAGGUUGUUACAGAAACAAGGGGAAACAUGUGAGGGUCAAAAAGGCGAGUCUCUUUCUGCCAGAAGUUUCAGUUUAAUGGAGAAACUGCAGAGUUUCUCCAUUAAUGGUAAAGUGA